Molecule: non-coding RNA, 1242 nt
Organism: Chiloscyllium plagiosum (whitespotted bambooshark)
Lineage: Eukaryota; Metazoa; Chordata; Chondrichthyes; Orectolobiformes; Hemiscylliidae
Source: RefSeq, a predicted model, not a curated record
UGAACUGCUGUGCUCUUCCAGCACCAUUGAUCCAGAAUCUGGUUUCCAGCAUCUGCAGUCAUUGUUUUUACCUUUCGCAACAGUUGACUGUCACAGACUAGCAUGGCACUUAAACCUUUGCUGUGCCAUAGUUGAUCAUGUGAUACCUGUUCCUGGCUUUAUACAUCCAGCGUCCAAUUUCAAUCGGCUGGAGGAUGCGCCUGGCGAACAUAGGGAAGUUCCCGGUUCAAACUUUGGCAUGUGCUGAAUUCUGCUGGGGUUGUGUUCUGCUGGGAAUGCUGCGUGUAGUCUAGAGCAUUGCCCGAGAAAUUUUAAAUUGAAUGACAGUGAGGACAUCCCACGUAUCGAAGUCAGUGAUAACUGUGACCCCAUCACACUCAGGACAGUUCCAGAGGCGUGCCUUAAGAAAAUUAAAGAAGGCCUGUCAUAUUACCGCAAUCAGUUCAGCCAACUUGGAAACGUGGAAGAGUCAAUGCACAACAGCGACAUGCGGAAAUUUGCGUAUAAUCUUUCUAAAAUCAUCUUGGAUCUCCUCAAGUCAAUCAAGAACUCGGACAGCAGCGCAGAUGACAGGACCAUAGACAGAGUUGCUGCGGAUAAUAGGCCUGUCAAGAUACACAAGAUCAGAGAUUGGGAGCUGAACUGUACAUUGUUUAGAACACUUGAGAGAUUUCAGUCCUUCUCAUCUCUGGUGGCUCGUGUCUUUGGACAUCCUUCAGGAAACCCUUCGGAACAUCAGAACACUGGGGAUUGUGGGGUAUAGUUCAGAGAGUUGAUGGACAUUCCAGAAAAUUGUUAUUAUCUUCAGAAGAUAAUUCCAGAGAUUAAUGUUUUUGAGAGGUGGAAGUUUUAUGAAAAAGUGGUUUGAGGCUUGGCUGGAUAAAAUGAAGUGGUGUUACACCAAUGCUAGUGACUAUCACAAUAGCUAAAGGAUUUUAGAUUUCUAAAUCAAAAGGGAUUUCUACGGGUUGUUCUGGAAUAGUUCAGCUUCAUCACCUUGUCAAAAAAAUGUUUUUGUCCUCACUGUUUUCUAACUUAUUAGUUUGAUUUUGGAAGGUAAUUAAUUAAAAGGUUUUUAAAAAUCUGCAAGAAAUUUUGCUUUGACCUCUGGAAAUAUGACACUUUCCAUAUAUUAAUCUCACAGCUGCAAAGCAUGUGCAUUUUUUACUUUCUUCAUUAAGUUCCUUUAACAUUUGAAACUUUGUAGUGAACAAACUGUAAUAAAGCUCACCUUACACAUCA